Molecule: ribosomal RNA, 52 nt
Filed under: Rugiboletus extremiorientalis
Lineage: Eukaryota; Fungi; Basidiomycota; Agaricomycetes; Boletales; Boletaceae
Description: partial 18S ribosomal RNA
Source: RNAcentral
CUCUUAGUUCUAUAAUGAUCCUUCCGUAGGUGAACCUGCGGAAGGAUCAUUA